RNAcentral lists this ribosomal RNA (271 nucleotides) under uncultured bacterium. Its description in RNAcentral is "partial 16S ribosomal RNA". It matches the Rfam family "Bacterial small subunit ribosomal RNA", at positions 524 to 794 of the family's 1533-position model. The record is from RNAcentral.
UACGAAGGUGGCAAGCGUUACUCGGAAUUACUAGGCGUAAAGGGCAGGUAGGUGGUUUGAUAAGUCUGUUGUGUAAGCUCCUGGCUUAACUGGGAGAGGUCAACGGAAACUAUCAGGCUUGAGUAUAGGAGAGGUUACUGGAAUUCCCGGUGUAGCGGUGAAAUGCGCAGAGAUCGGGAGGAACACCAAUGGCGAAAGCAGGUAACUGGACUAUUACUGACACUAAGCUGCGAAAGCUAGGGGAGCAAACAGGAUUAGAUACCCUGGUAGU